Molecule: ribosomal RNA, 429 nt
Filed under: uncultured bacterium
Lineage: Bacteria
Description: bacterial SSU rRNA
Rfam family: Bacterial small subunit ribosomal RNA
Source: RNAcentral
UGGGGAAUAUUGGGCAAUGGGCGAAAGCCUGACCCAGCGACGCCGCGUGGGUGAUGAAGGCCUUCGGGUUGUAAAACCCUUUCGUGCGGAAAGAAUAGUCCUGUAGUGAAUAACUACGGGAUUUGACGGUACCGCAGGAAGAAGCACCGGCUAACUCCGUGCCAGCAGCCGCGGUAAUACGGAGGGUGCAAGCGUUGUUCGGAAUUAUUGGGCGUAAAGGGCGCGUAGGUGGUUGUGAUAGUCAGAUGUGAAAUCCUUCGGCUCAACCGAAGAACUGCAUCUGAAACUUCAUAGCUCGAGUACAGGAGAGGGAAGCGGAAUUCCCGGUGUAGAGGUGAAAUUCGUAGAUAUCGGGAGGAACACCAGUGGCGAAGGCGGUUUCCUAGCCUGAUACUAACGCUGAGGCGCGAAAGCGUGGGGAGCAAACAG